AUACUUACCUGGGAGAGGAAAUGUCAUGUGCACAAAGGUGGUUUUCCCAGAGCGAGGCUCAUCCACUGCACUUGGGACGUGCUGACCCCUUAAACUUCCCCAAAUAGGGAAACUCGAUUGCAUAAUUUGUGAUAGUGGGGGACUGCAUUCGUGCUCUUUGCUG
Echinops telfairi (small Madagascar hedgehog) is the source of this 163-nucleotide small nuclear RNA. RefSeq annotates it as U1 spliceosomal RNA. The transcript has a single exon. The record is from RefSeq and is a predicted model, not a curated record. Lineage: Eukaryota; Metazoa; Chordata; Mammalia; Afrosoricida; Tenrecidae.